GAUGAACGCUAGCGGCAGGCUUAACACAUGCAAGUCGAGGGGUAUAUCAUUUCGGUGAUAGAGACCGGCGCACGGGUGCGUAACGCGUAUGCAAUCUACCUUUUACAGGGGAAUAGCCCAGAGAAAUUUGGAUUAAUGCCCCAUGGUAUUAUGAAAUGGCAUCAUUUUAUAAUUAAAGUUCCAACGGUAAAAGAUGAGCAUGCGUCCCAUUAGUUAGUUGGUAAGGUAACGGCUUACCAAGACGAUGAUGGGUAGGGGUCCUGAGAGGGAGAUCCCCCACACUGGUACUGAGACACGGACCAGACUCCUACGGGAGGCAGCAGUGAGGUAAUAUUGGACAAUGGGCGCAAGCCUGAUCCAGCCAUGCCGCCGUGCAGGAAGAAGCAUCUAUGGUGUGUAAACCUGCCUUUUUAUACAGGAAGAAACACUCCCCUGUCGAGGGUAGCCUUUGGACCGGUUACUGUAAGAACUAAGGGACCGGUAAACUCCGUGCCCAGGCCAGCCGCGGUAAA
Molecule: ribosomal RNA, 512 nt
Filed under: uncultured bacterium
Lineage: Bacteria
Description: bacterial SSU rRNA
Rfam family: Bacterial small subunit ribosomal RNA
Source: RNAcentral